GCUCCGUAGUUCAGUUGGUUAGAGCAUUGUCCCAAUAUGACAAGGUUCCAGGUUCAAUCCCUGGUCAGGGCA
This 72-nucleotide transfer RNA is filed under the name Myotis davidii. It matches the Rfam family "tRNA". Rfam says of the family: Transfer RNA (tRNA) molecules are approximately 80 nucleotides in length. Their secondary structure includes four short double-helical elements and three loops (D, anti-codon, and T loops). Lineage: Eukaryota; Metazoa; Chordata; Mammalia; Chiroptera; Vespertilionidae. The record is from Rfam by way of RNAcentral.